GGCCUCUUAGUGUAGUGGUUCAUCACGUCCUCCGCAUUACUUGAUUCUAACAUCAAGACUGGUUGGAAGGUCGCAGGUUCGAUUCCUGCAGAGGCCG
This is a non-coding RNA of Cadophora sp. MPI-SDFR-AT-0126, 97 nucleotides long. Lineage: Eukaryota; Fungi; Ascomycota; Leotiomycetes; Helotiales; Ploettnerulaceae. The record is from the annotation of a GenBank genome assembly.